UCCUACGGGGCGCAGCAGUGGGGAAUAUUGCACAAUGGGGGAAACCCUGAUGCAGCGACGCCGCGUGAGUGAAGAAGUAUUUCGGUACGUAAAGCUCUAUCAGCAGGGAAGAAAAAAAGUCCUUUGGACUUUGGACGGUACCUGACCAAGAAGCCCCGGCUAACUACGUGCCAGCAGCCGCGGUAAUACGUAGGGGGCAAGCGUUAUCCGGAUUUACUGGGUGUAAAGGGGGCGCAGACGGCGAUGCAAGCCAGGAGUGAAAGCCCGGGGCCCAACCCCGGGACUGCUCUUGGACCUGCGUGGCU
Molecule: ribosomal RNA, 305 nt
Filed under: uncultured bacterium
Lineage: Bacteria
Description: bacterial SSU rRNA
Rfam family: Bacterial small subunit ribosomal RNA
Source: RNAcentral